Molecule: ribosomal RNA, 207 nt
Filed under: uncultured bacterium
Lineage: Bacteria
Description: partial 16S ribosomal RNA
Rfam family: Bacterial small subunit ribosomal RNA
Source: RNAcentral
UGCGUAGGCGGCCGUGUAAGUCUGGCGUGAAAGCCCCGGGCUCAGCCCGGGAAGCGCGCUCGAAACUGCGCGGCUCGAGUGCCGGAGGGGAGAGUGGAAUUCCUGGUGUAGCGGUGAAAUGCGUAGAUAUCAGGAGGAAUACCGGUGGCGAAAGCGACUCUCUGGACGGCAACUGACGCUGAGGCACGAAAGCGUGGGGAGCAAACA